CGGGUGAGUAAUGCAUAGGAAUCUACCUUUUUAGUGGGGGAUAACUCGGAGAAAUCCGAGCUAAUACCGCAUAAUCUCUACGGAGGAAAGUGGGGGGAUCUUCGGACCUCAUGCUGAAAGAUGAGCCUAUGUCAGAUUAGCUUGUUGGUGGGGUAAAGGCCUACCAAGGCGACGAUCUGUAGCUGGUUUGAGAGAACGAUCAGCCACACUGGGACUGAGACACGGCCCAG
Molecule: ribosomal RNA, 230 nt
Filed under: uncultured bacterium
Lineage: Bacteria
Description: partial 16S ribosomal RNA
Rfam family: Bacterial small subunit ribosomal RNA
Source: RNAcentral